RNAcentral lists this ribosomal RNA (432 nucleotides) under uncultured bacterium. Its description in RNAcentral is "partial 16S ribosomal RNA". It matches the Rfam family "Bacterial small subunit ribosomal RNA", at positions 338 to 795 of the family's 1533-position model. The record is from RNAcentral.
CCUACGGGGGGCAGCAGCUAGGAAUCUUGCGCAAUGGACGAAAGUCUGACGCAGCGACGCCGCGUGCGGGAUGAAGGCCUUAGGGUCGUAAACCGCUUUCAGCAGGGACGCGGUACCUGCAGAAGAAGCCCCGGCCAACUACGUGCCAGCAGCCGCGGUAAUACGUAGGGGGCGAGCGUUGUCCGGAUUUAUUGGGCGUAAAGAGCUCGUAGGCGGUUUGGUAAGUUGGAUGUGAAAUCUCCAGGCUCAACUUGGAGGGGUCAUUCGAUACUGCCAGACUAGAGUUCGGUAGGGGAGUGUGGAAUUCCUGGUGGAGCGGUGAAAUGCGCAGAUAUCAGGAGGAACACCCGUAGCGAAGGCGGCACUCUGGGCCGGACUGACGCUGAGGAGCGAAAGCGUGGGGAGCGAACAGGAUUAGAUACCCUUGUAGUC